CUUGAAUACUGCAGCCAUUACACCUCUACUAUGUCUUUUGUGAAGUCUUAUUUAAGUCUCCCAUCCAAUAUUCUAUUGGUUAUCUGUCUUUUUCUUAGUAAGAAAGAGACGGAUGAGGCUAUGCUGUUCCCUUAUCUCCAAUCUAAGACAAUCAACUAUCCUGAGUAAUGUGUCUUACAUUUUCCUUCCUGAAAAUUUUACAUCACAAAAGGUAUGAGAUGGCUCAUUUGACAACUGCAUUCUUUUUUUUUUUUUUUUACUAGUUAUCCUGCAACUAAUAGAAGAAAGAAACAUGGAGAAAAUGGAGCAGAUAUUCAAAGUAACUGUAUUUGACUUUGGUUAGCAAUGAUACAGACUUGGCAGGCAUAAAACUGACUGUGCCAUUCUGACACCCUCACUCUCUCAGCAGGUCUGAUUUACUCCUGAUGUUCACUUCUGUCUUUCCUAGGAGAAUAUUUCUCACGUGUUUGACAGAAAACACUACCUGUCCAUCAUUUCCAUGGAUUCCUGGGUCUCACGGGCAGAAGGACAAGGCAGAUAUGAGGAGGAUCUGGUAAACUUUUCUCCCCAGGCAUCUUUAUUUGGUUUGCUGACCAAAGCAUUAUUCACACUUCUCCUGCGGCCACGCCAAUGCCACACCCGCCGCAAGGUGCUCCCGGUCUCCUACCUCUGAACAGUGGUCUGAAUCUCUGACUUGAGCCGUGCAGCCCUUUGAAAGAAAAGUGAUUUAGGAGCUCAGCCCUCUGAGGAUGUAAAGCCCGUCACAGGUGCUUGUUUUUCUGUCUCCGAGUGUGGAAGAUGCCUUCUGUGAGGUCCUGCGCCUCUGCGUAAGCAGCUGAGUAGCUCCUUGGGCUGACAAAAUACUUUGCUGUGGCUGCAUUACACACCCAGGGCAACCUCUUUAGCUGGAUUUUGCAGACUGGGAAAUGGGCUCUGAGGGGAAGUCACGCCUCAUCUCAAGGUUUACUGAGGAGCCACGAGGAGGCCCCACCGCUGCCACAGCUAACUCAUGGCCUCCGGCCAGGAAGUCUGGAGAUUUUAAGACAAUAAUGUCAGCCAGGGUGACCUCUGGAACCUGUUCACCCCUUCACCCGUUGUGAACAAGAGAGCUGAAUAGCCACUAUCAGAGAUAAUAACAACAGCUGACAUUAUUAAUAGGAUGACUUACAGGCUGUAAAAUACUUUCACAAACAGGAUCUCAUUUGAUCCUCAUAAUCUCAACAUGAGGUGCGUAAAGCAAGCAAUUAUUACUGAUCUCCUUUUACAGAAGAGAAAAGGAAGUCCUGAGAGAUGAAUCCACUUCUGGGAGGUGUGACAACGUUCAGCUUUACCUGAGCCAUGGUCAGGAAACUUUUCUGCGUUCCAGGAAAUGGCCGGUCACAACGACUGGCCUUUCCCUAUAAAAACUUACAAAACCCUCACAGGUGACCUCCUUGUUUACCUAUGACAGAACCAGACACAGUGCCAGAUCCUCCAAACUCCCAUUCUUUGCCUUAUAUGUAAUCAGUUGAACUGUUUGUAUCUACUGACUAAUCUAGACAAGGUACUUGCUAACUUGACCUGUUUAAAAGUUCGAAAUGCCAAACUUUCUUUCUUUUUUUUUUUUUUCCCAUCCCACCCCACCCAGAUGGAGUUUCACUCUUGUCACCCAGGCUGGAGUGAGUGCAGUGGUGCCAUCUCGGCUCAGUGCAACCUCUGCCUCCCGGGUUCAAGCAAUUCUCCUGCCUCAGCCUCUAGAAUAGCUGGGAUUACAGGCAUGUGCCACCACACCCGGCUAAUUUUGUUUGUUUAGUAGAGACAGGGUUUCAUCAUGUUGGCCAGGCUUGUUACAAACUCCUGACCUCAGGUGAUCUGCUGCCUCAGCCUCCCACAGUGCUGGGAUUACAAGUGUGAGCCACAGUGCCUGGCCCGAAAUGCUAAACUUUCAUCAAGAUAUUGCAAUAGUCUUUUCUAAGAAAGCUCUUCCUUACUUAACUUGUGCCUGGCCCCAAAUGCUAAACUUUCAUCAAAUAUUGC
Long non-coding RNA from Pan paniscus (pygmy chimpanzee), 2016 nucleotides. Lineage: Eukaryota; Metazoa; Chordata; Mammalia; Primates; Hominidae. The record is from Ensembl.